GCUUACGGCCAUACACCCUGAACACGCCCGAUCUCGUCUGAUCUCGGAAGCUAAGCAGGGUCGGGCCUGGUCAGUACUUGAUGGGAGACCGCUGGAUACCAGUGCUGUAAGCU
This 113-nucleotide ribosomal RNA is filed under the name Oreochromis niloticus (Nile tilapia). The record is from RNAcentral. Lineage: Eukaryota; Metazoa; Chordata; Actinopteri; Cichliformes; Cichlidae.